UAAUACGAACUGUGCGAACGUUAUUCGGAAUCACUGGGCUUAAAGGGUGCGUAGGCGGCUUGUUAAGCAGGGUGUGAAAGCCCUCGGCUCAACCGAGGAAUAGCGCUCUGAACUGGCGAGCUGGAGUGAGGCAGGGGUGCGCGGAACUUCCAGUGGAGCGGUGAAAUGUGUUGAUAUUGGAAGGAACACCGGAGGCGAAAGCGGCGCACUGGGCCUUGUCUGACGCUGAGGCACGAAAGCCAGGGGAGCAAACGGGAUUAGAUACCCCGGUAGUCCUGGCCGUAAACGCUGAGUACUAGUGGGGAGAUCCGCGAGGGUUUUCUCACGGAGCGAAAGUUUUAAGUACUCCGCCUGGGGAGUAUGGUCGCAAGGCUG
Molecule: ribosomal RNA, 375 nt
Filed under: uncultured bacterium
Lineage: Bacteria
Description: bacterial SSU rRNA
Rfam family: Bacterial small subunit ribosomal RNA
Source: RNAcentral